RNAcentral lists this ribosomal RNA (301 nucleotides) under uncultured bacterium. Its description in RNAcentral is "partial 16S ribosomal RNA". It matches the Rfam family "Bacterial small subunit ribosomal RNA", at positions 509 to 807 of the family's 1533-position model. The record is from RNAcentral.
CAGUCGCCGCGGUAAAACGAAGGGGGCUAGCGUUGCUCAGAAUGACUGGGCGUAAAGGGCGCGUAGGCGGCGAUCAAAGUCAGGCGUGAAAUUCCUGGGCUCAACCUGGGGGCUGCGUUUGAUACUUGAUUGCUAGAGUGGGGAAGAGGGUCGUGGAAUUCCCAGUGUAGAGGUGAAAUUCGUAGAUAUUGGGAAGAACACCGGUGGCGAAGGCGGCGACCUGGUCCUUGACUGACGCUGAGGCGCGAAAGCGUGGGGAGCAAACAGGAUUAGAUACCCCGGUAGUCCCUGUCUCUUAUAC